Molecule: non-coding RNA, 719 nt
Organism: Prunus avium (sweet cherry)
Lineage: Eukaryota; Viridiplantae; Streptophyta; Magnoliopsida; Rosales; Rosaceae
Source: RefSeq, a predicted model, not a curated record
UUUUUAUUUUAUUUUGAGUAGUCAAGAUUCAAGAAAGGCGUCUUAUUGUUGUUGGCCCAUCCAGAUAGCAAUGAAGUAGAAUCGAAACCAUCUUCUGUUCCAAUCACAACCAAGAUUCUGAUAACUCAAACAUGCACAGAUCCGCAAGUGCUUCCAGAGUCUCCGAGGACUUGGUUGUGACCUCCUCAUCAACUUCACCGCCAUCUUCAACCUUCAAACCAACCACAGACGACUCUUCAGACCAGCAUCUACAUCUACCCACAUACGAUCCCCUCUCUCAUGUCGCAAAGAGGGAACGGCGUCGUAUCAGGUCCGCGGAGAACGCCAUUCACAUCAUACCUCUCCUGCUCGUCCUCUGCGCAAUCAUCCUCUGGUUCUUUUCCAAUCCAGUGAUUCACCUUUUUAAAGAAUGAAGAUUAUCAAGAUUGAGGGCAAUACUGAGUGUUGGCGGAGGAGCAGCUCUCCAUUAAACAAGAGUUGGAGGAAUUUAGUCUGAAUUAAUAAUGUAUGCAUCACUAGACCCACAAGACUAUUGGAGAAGAAAAACUAGCAGGCUCCCUCUUACUCGAGAAGUUCUUGUAAGCAAUUUAUAUGAAUGUGAGAUAAUGAAGACCUAGUUCCGUCUUAUUAGACACCUUGAUUGCACAUAUGCAUAGAAGCUUUGUUGAAAUUUAUAUCAUAAUAAAAAACAAGCUAUUCACUUGGUAUUCAUUUGGGAA